Molecule: long non-coding RNA, 4669 nt
Organism: Scylla paramamosain (green mud crab)
Lineage: Eukaryota; Metazoa; Arthropoda; Malacostraca; Decapoda; Portunidae
Exons: 6
Source: RefSeq, a predicted model, not a curated record
UUCGGUCAAGACUGACGUGUAAUGGGUCCUGUAUGAAGUCGGUGCUCGCAGCCUUCCCAACGCCGCCUCACUUGACGUCGCGCUCGCGCCCCAGUCUUUCACCAGCUCUGAUAGGGGUCAGUUUGGACUACUGUUUGCGGCCUUGUGACCUCGUCAUUACAACUAUUACUUGUUCUUGUCAAGAUGCCCAAACGAAAGUGUAAAUUCACUGCAGAGAAGCAGAACAAACUCCCGUGCUUCAAAAAAGGCAGGGAUGAGUGGGAAGCCGAGUGUUUGGUGUGUAAACCAGGAACAUUUGUCUCAUUGGCACAUAAAGACAUUAAUGACUUACAGUCACAUGUGAGCUCCGAGAAACAUAAGAGAGCAAUGCAAGAAGAGGGUUCAUCAAUGAAGAUGACACAUUAUUUUAUUAUCAGCUAUAUGCAAAGGGCUAUGACUGCUGAGUGGAGUGCAGGAGGCAGCUACUGAACCUUACAAGAGAAGAGUCACCAUGUGUCACUAGGUUUAGGUCCCGAUUCUCCACCUGAAUGGAGUCUAUGCAUCCUCGGAAGCCCUGGUAGUAGGCUGGAGGCAGACCACGUGGCAUCUUUGGAGACCCACCUGUGCAGCAUAAAAAAAGAGUUUGCCAUUGGUGUUGAGUGUGGUAGAGCCGCGGUUAGCAAGGCCCUUGACUGGACGUUCGUUGUCGACUCUGAGGACUCCGAGGCGCUUCCGUCGGUGCACUACCAGCACGUGCCACUGACCAUCAUCCACACGCACCUGGGGGCACAAGACAACAAUGAGAACUUGCCAGUGUAUGGAGCAAGGCAUUUGCACAAGAAUCUGUUACGGAAGGGAUGACAAACUCCACCAUUUUCACAAGGAUUCAUCUGACAAGGUGGUCCACGGUACCUGUGUGUUGUGUAAAUCUUUAGUGUGAUUCUUAACAUAAAGUCCUAGUUCUUCCUCUCCAAUGUUAGGAUGCUGCACAAAAGAUUUAAUAAAAUCAAUCCGUGAAAAAUAGAGCCCAUUUUAAAUUUCUGAAACACCCUUAUAUUUUCACGUAAAAACAUUUCCUAAUUUGAAAAGUAUAAAAUAUUUAACAUCUUUUUUUUCCACUUACCUACGAACUCCUCUUCCACCAGUUGCUCUCUCAUCAAGGUUGUCAUAAACUUCAGAGUUGACAAGCAAUCUCUGGAUGGCUCCAUUAAGACCCAUGGUUACUCCUGAGUCAGGAUGUGCAGUUGUAUAAUUCCUGUUGAAGAAGUUUACCUCAUCAAUUUUGGCUUGUUGAGAGGCAAAUUUUUAGCAAUGCAUUUUCGUGCUUAUAAUUGAGGCUUAUCUUGAUACAGUAGACUUUAGUAAUAAUGUUUAAAAAAUUGUUGACUGAAUGAUGAAUUCUCAUGACUUAAGUAUCUAAAAGAAUGUGAGAUUUAAUUAUAUUUUUAAGACUCCAUACAUGUUUGCAUGUUUUGGCUGUGUUAACUUUAUGAUGGCUCAUGAUGCUGCACUAUCUCUAACAACCUCUCCCCAUAACCCUACAUAUCUAAGAUCCUACACACUCACUUCAUUCCAGAUUAUCUGCCAGUAAUACCUGAGUGCAGCUGGUAGUUUUUAAAUAGAGACCUAAAAAAACACUGUAUUUUAAGCAUGCUCAUUCAUGUUACCAUUUAACAAACACAAAUACUAUUGUCAGAUUACUGCUAACAAGCAAUAUUCUAUCGCAAACUGCCUCUAACAGAGAGGGUCAGUUUGCUUCCAAGUCAUACUCUAAUACAAGAAAUUUAAAGCCUAAUGUGGGGAUGGGCCACAACAAACCACAGAGAAGUCUGUAACACAGAACAUGGUAAUACUAAUGUCAGGGAUGUGAGUGUGUCACCAGCACUGCUGCCAGCCCUGCCACCACCACCAUCAUGCACAAUAAUGUGAGCUUAGUGAGAAAAAGGGCGGGCUGCUGCUGCUGCCACCAUUCACAGUGAUAUCAACAGUGAGCAUUCAUCAGCUAUGUAUGUAAACAAUGCCUCAGUGUGUUUUUUUUUUAUCACUGUUACUAUAUUGUAACAGUUUUUAUUCAUUAUCCUUUUUAUUUUUAUGAACUCCUAUGUAUCUAAAACCCUAAGUUGUAUGCUUGAAAAAAAAAAAAAAAAAUUUUACACAUAGUCUUGAAAUAUUUUAUUUAAAUUUUUGAGGGGUUUGUAUCAGCCAGGUCAGAACCAUAGUUGUUUUCUGCUAAUAUUUUCAUCAAAACUCUACCACGAAUCAUGUCUAACACAGGCCGAUAGCAAAACUGAAUCCCCAUGUUGGCAGCGACCUGACUCAACAUAGAAAAAAAGUUAACAGUUACAAGAAGUAAUACAAUAAUGGCAGACAAAUAUAACAUUUUGUAAAGUGAGAGUACAAGAACACAUUUAAAUUUUGAAGAUAUGUUCAUUAGGAAUAAAAGCAGAGGUUUAAUUUAACUUACUCAAGCCCUCCAAGAUAAAGUGGCUGGUUAAGAUUGAGCUCCUUAAGGCGUGGUCCACUCUUCCCCAUCACUCGGUGACCACGAUUCACCCUCAGGAUGCCUCUUCUCUUUUUCCUGCGUACCCUCACCACAUGCCAUGUGUUGAGGGGGAUGCGGGUAGGGCUCCUAUAAGCAGGGGGAUGAGGGAAGGAUACAAUUAGAGUAAAUGGUUUCUUCUUACAUUACUCUGGUCCUUCAGGAUUGUGAUACAUGACAGGUUGCAUACUGAAAUAAUGUGUGUUUUAUACUUUAUAAUCUUACUCAUCCUUAUUUCACUAUUUUUCAUAAAUACAAUAGGUUUUACUUUGAUAUGUGUACAGACAGCAAUGAAAUUACUGUAUUGUGUGUUUAUGGAUAAAAAGUUACACAACAAUGGGGAGGAUAUGAAUAGGGUACAAAGUGAUUUAUCUGAGGGUAGAUCUUGCAUACUCUCUUUCUCUGGAGCUGCAAAUUCCUUAGCACAGACAAGACGACAUUUAUGGGCAUCAAUCAAGCUCUUUACUGGUCAAUGUGAAGAAGCAUAAAACAAUAGGAUAACAAACAAUAUUCAAAUGCAAACACAAAUGUGUGAAAAAUUAGGGAAAUAAGGAAUGGAAUAUAAUUAGCUAAAUAAGAUAAUUCUAAACAAAUAUUUUUGAAGGGAUGAGCAUUCAUCUUGUGUGUGAUGUACAAGGGGCUGGUGGGGUGACAAAACAUGUGUAGAGGCACAAGAAAACCAGGUACAGUAAAUAAAUGCAUUCAGCUUUUUGGGAAUAACAUUAUUUGUCCUCUUGCAGAUGUAUGAAUGAAAGUCAAGGUAAAGAUGUUCAUGGUUUCCUCUUUUUUGUAGUGCAUUUGGGAGUUCGAACAGGUGGUGACUGAGUACAGGUGUGGACUUAAGAUUGUCAGGAUGAGACAAUAGUGAUCAGUUAUAGACUUGAUACUAUAAUAAACAAAGUAACAGAUGAAAUAACAUUUGAUGCAUGUUAUACAUAUAUACAUAUAGUAAAAAGGCAAUUUGUCUUGUUGAUUUUUGGGAAGUCAGAUUAGUUAAUCGAAAACUUUGCUUCAUAGGACCUGGUAAAAUUUAGAUUGCAAGUUUUUUUUUCUGAGUAACUAAAGGUAAAAUCAAUUGUGUUCAUUUUGAAGUGAAACACUUCUAUCAGCAUCAUUCAUAUUCUUGUAUCCAGCAUUCCCAUGACAGUCUCAAGACCCCAGCCACCAUGAGUCCACACUGGAGCGUGAAAGUGGAUCAAAAUAAUAAUACUGGUAAGUAAUAAAUUAAAUUGUGCCAGAGUAAGUUCAGGAACAAAGUGUACUUGUUCAUGUUGCUCACUCUGACCUGCAGUUUACCACCUACACCAGUGGAUCCACUACUUACUUCAGCCUGAAUCUGAAACAACACAUGAUAAUUGGUGAUUCUACUGUGACAAGCUGAUCUAAAUGUGUCACAUUUACUAAAAACCUGAGCAACAACUGACAAAGCAUGGAAGUGGUAAACACCAGACACUCCUGAAGGGUGCAGUGUUUCUAAGCAUACACUGUGAAAAUAUUAUUUACAAUGAUUAUAUAGUGUUAAUCAUGAUUUAACUUUUUCUUUUUUACAUGAACUUUCACAAUAUUUUCUUGACAAUGAAAAAGCUUUUUUGAGACCAGUGAUAUAUUCAUGGAAAACUGUACAAAUAGUACUUCCCAAAGAGCAUAAUGCUGGUCCUCCACCAUCAAGUUCUAAACAAACCCUGCUCCCUAUAGUAAGGCACAACAGCACUCUUGACUAAACGAAAGACUAAAUGCAACAUAUCUAAAAAUUGCAUAAAAAUACCAUUUAAACAUUAUUGGAGAAUAUAAAGAGAAAUGAAAUUUAAACACAAUGGCACUCACACAAGGGUUGCAAGGCCAGAGCCCAGAUUGUAGGAGAACUCAACGUGUCCAUUGCGAAGAUUGAGGGCAAUGAAGUCUCCUCCACCACCCAUCUGUCCAUUGUAGAGGAGGACCCCAUCAGGAGAGCGUGUGAGGAACCACAGUUCCAGCACCAAGGAGUGACCCACAUUCUCCAGAGUGGGUAGUUCAAGUGUGCCGGUUCUACCAGGUGGACACUUGCAUAGGAAUCCCUCAGUGGGCAAAGUGACACAAGUUGCUCCUGCUAGACAAGGCUGGCUCUCACAAGGAUCAAGUCUCACCUCACAUCGAUCACCUGAAGAGGACAAG